This is a long non-coding RNA of Protobothrops mucrosquamatus (brown spotted pit viper), 757 nucleotides long. RefSeq lists it as uncharacterized. The transcript has 2 exons. NCBI's taxonomy places the organism in Eukaryota, Metazoa, Chordata, Lepidosauria, Squamata, Viperidae. The record is from RefSeq and is a predicted model, not a curated record.
UUGUUUGGGACAUGCCCGGGCAUGUCAUACUCCCGUGAUCUGGGCAGGCGCAAUGCUCAAGGGCGUGGCAUUGCAAGGGGCAAGGGAGUUUGUGCGGGCAGGCCUGAACAGCUAGCGAUUUAAUUCCAGCAGUCUUUUGAAGAUGGCAACCUCUGAUUCCAAAGCUGUUUUUAAACCAGCAAAAGCUAGCGUCAAACACUCUGAUACAAGGCCCCAGCCGGCAGAAUGCAACAAAAUCUGUUGCAGGGGUUAUGAUAAAGAAAAUUUUUUAUUCAGACCUGUGUUGCAUGACUGUAGCAUGGUGUGCUGUAACUUGAAUGAUGAGGUACAGACACGGACAGCCUGUGAAAUGGUGAAUGAGGCUACAUUAUCUCCCAGCAAUGCCUCUGAAUUAAUAACACCUAGACAGCAAACACUUCAAGACACCCCGAUUUUAUAUUCCUGUGGUAAUCGCCGUGGUCACAAAGAUUCUGCAGAUUUUUCUGAUCUAGACUAUAACAGGGAUUAUGAGCUAUCCCAGAGACCGCGCUAUCUACCCUGUGAGUUAAAGAGCUGCAAUUUGUGUAAAAACUGGUUUGCUUGCGACUGCGAACAUGAUUUGUGGGGCACAGGCGGAUCAACGUAUUGUAAAAUAGCGUGUUAUGGUCCUUUAUCUUCUGAUUCUGAUAGUGAUGAUGAGGGAUAUUUUUCUGAUGGUGGAGUCAUGCCCCCUCUGAACUCUGUAUAACCAAUAAAAGACUGUGUUAACGUCAACACU